RNAcentral lists this ribosomal RNA (35 nucleotides) under Branchiostegus japonicus (red tilefish). RNAcentral describes it as "partial 5.8S rRNA". The record is from RNAcentral. Lineage: Eukaryota; Metazoa; Chordata; Actinopteri; Malacanthidae.
ACAACUCUUAGCGGUGGAUCACUGGGCUCGUGCGU